Molecule: ribosomal RNA, 495 nt
Filed under: uncultured bacterium
Lineage: Bacteria
Description: partial 16S ribosomal RNA
Rfam family: Bacterial small subunit ribosomal RNA
Source: RNAcentral
UGAACGCUGGCGGCGUGCCUAAUACAUGCAAGUCGAGCGAACAGACGCGGAGCUUGCUCCUCUGACGUUAGCGGCGGACGGGUGAGUAACACGUGGAUAACCUACCUAUAAGACUGGGAUAACUUCGGGAAACCGGAGCUAAUACCGGAUAAUAUAUUGAACCGCAUGGUUCAAUAGUGAAAGACGGUUUUGCUGUCACUUAUAGAUGGAUCCGCGCCGCAUUAGCUAGUUGGUAAGGUAACGGCUUACCAAGGCAACGAUGCGUAGCCGACCUGAGAGGGUGAUCGGCCACACUGGAACUGAGACACGGUCCAGACUCCUACGGGGGGCAGCAGUAGGGAAUCUUCCGCAAUGGGCGAAAGCCUGACGGAGCAACGCCGCGUGAGUGAUGAAGGUCUUCGGAUCGUAAAACUCUGUUAUUAGGGAAGAACAAAUGUGUAAGUAACUAUGCACGUCUUGACGGUACCUAAUCAGAAAGCCACGGCUAACUACGUG